RNAcentral lists this transfer RNA (91 nucleotides) under Caudoviricetes sp. Its description in RNAcentral is "tRNA-Ser". It matches the Rfam family "tRNA". Rfam says of the family: Transfer RNA (tRNA) molecules are approximately 80 nucleotides in length. The record is from RNAcentral. Lineage: Duplodnaviria; Heunggongvirae; Uroviricota; Caudoviricetes.
GCGGUAGUAAGCCUAAUGGUAAGGCAGUUGUUUGCUAAACAAUCAGUAGUCGAGUAAAAUCGGCGUGCAGGUUCAAGUCCUGUCUACCGCG